RNAcentral lists this transfer RNA (45 nucleotides) under Astelia nivicola var. moriceae. RNAcentral's name for it is "partial tRNA-Phe". The record is from RNAcentral. Lineage: Eukaryota; Viridiplantae; Streptophyta; Magnoliopsida; Asparagales; Asteliaceae.
UCGGGAUAGCUCANUUGGUARAGCAAAGGACUGAAAAUCCUCCUG